GGGUGACAACACUUAUUGAUACGAUUACUGCUGGUUCCUACCCUCUAACGUUCCAAGUACAGGACCCAUGUGGUAAAACAGGCACCGGUACUCUUACCAUAACAGUUACGAAUUCGCCCAUCUAUCUCACCAGCCUUCCGAGUUACGCCGUGGUGAGUCAAGAUAUCACCACCCAGACCCUUCUCCAUACCUUGGCCACUUCGGACGCCUCUCCGACCGACAGUAUCGCCAGCUGCAACUUGGCUGCCGCCCCGAAAUUCUCCACCGCUAUUGUCACAGGAACAACGUACGGAAUAUACUCCAUUUUAAAUCCCGGGUUCGAUUAUGUAACGACAAAGAAGUAUCAAUUUGACGCCACAUGUACAGAUUCCUAUGGAGCCUCAGACAGCGGAACUUUGUAUGUCUACGUUACAGCCAACACUCCACCGAUAUUCACAAACCUGCCAGAUAAAACAACGAUUGCCAGUACCAUAGCAACCGGUACCAGUGUGUUUGCUGUAACAGCCACCGAUGUUGACGUUGUAGAUACCAUCACGUUCAACGGCGUCACGUGCUCGACAGGAACCUGUCCGUUUACAAUAACCGCCGG
Molecule: long non-coding RNA, 589 nt
Organism: Pecten maximus
Lineage: Eukaryota; Metazoa; Mollusca; Bivalvia; Pectinida; Pectinidae
Exons: 4
Source: RefSeq, a predicted model, not a curated record